This 113-nucleotide transfer RNA is filed under the name Aspergillus egyptiacus. RNAcentral's name for it is "tRNA-Leu". It matches the Rfam family "tRNA". Rfam says of the family: Transfer RNA (tRNA) molecules are approximately 80 nucleotides in length. Their secondary structure includes four short double-helical elements and three loops (D, anti-codon, and T loops). Lineage: Eukaryota; Fungi; Ascomycota; Eurotiomycetes; Eurotiales; Aspergillaceae. The record is from RNAcentral.
GGCAAGAUGGCCGAGCGGUCUAAGGCGCCAGACUCAAGGACUUUCCUUACUUGAGAUCACUCAAGAGUCUUCUGGUCACGAAAGUGGCGUGGGUUCAAAUCCCACUCUUGUCA